RNAcentral lists this unclassified non-coding RNA (292 nucleotides) under Hevea brasiliensis (rubber tree). The record is from RNAcentral. Lineage: Eukaryota; Viridiplantae; Streptophyta; Magnoliopsida; Malpighiales; Euphorbiaceae.
UUCCAAUUCCAUAUGUCAAGCAAGUGAAGUUAUCUAAUGCAGGUGGUAGGCUCAUAAUCGCAUCUGAUGGAAUCUGGGAUGCCCUUUCCUCGGAAAUGGCAGCAAAAUCUUGCCAUGGGUUGCCAGCUGAACUUGCUGCUAGACNNNNNNNNNAAGGACAAGGGGACUAAAGGAUGACACGACAUGCAUAGUUGUUGACGUAAUUCCUCCUGACAAUUCAACACAGCCCUCAACUUCUCCCAAGAAGCGGAACAAGCUCAGAACCUUGUUAUUCAGGAAGAAAUCACAUGAU